This 375-nucleotide ribosomal RNA is filed under the name uncultured bacterium. Its description in RNAcentral is "bacterial SSU rRNA". It matches the Rfam family "Bacterial small subunit ribosomal RNA", at positions 524 to 898 of the family's 1533-position model. The record is from RNAcentral.
UACGAAGGGGGCGAGCGUUGUUCGGAUUUACUGGGCGUAAAGGGCGCGCAGGCGGCCAGAUUUGUCAGGCGUGAAAGCCCCGGGCUUAACCUGGGAGGUGCGCUUGGGACGGUUUGGCUAGAGAUCGGGAGAGGAGCGUGGAAUUCCCAGUGUAGAGGUGAAAUUCGUAGAUAUUGGGAAGAACACCGGUGGCGAAGGCGGCGCUCUGGACCGAGACUGACGCUGAGGCGCGAAAGCGUGGGGAGCAAACAGGAUUAGAUACCCUGGUAGUCCACGCGGUAAACGAUGUGUGCUAGACGUUGGGGAGCCUAGCUCUUCGGUGUCGCAGCUAACGCGAUAAGCACACCGCCUGGGGAGUACGGCCGCAAGGUUAAA